ACGUGGUAUCCUGUCUGAAUAUGGGGGGACCAUCCUCCAAGGCUAAAUACUCCUGACUGACCGAUAGUGAACCAGUACCGUGAGGGAAAGGCGAAAAGAACCCCGGCGAGGGGAGUGAAAAAGAACCUGAAACCGUGUACGUACAAGCAGUGGGAGCACCCUUUGGGGUGUGACUGCGUACCUUUUGUAUAAUGGGUCAGCGACUUAUAUUCUGUAGCAAGGUUAACCGAAUAGGGGAGCCGGAGGGAAACCGAGUCUUAAUUGGGCGUUAAGUUGCAGGGUAUAGACCCGAAACCCGGUGAUCUAGCCAUGGGCAGGUUGAAGGUUGGGUAACACUAACUGGAGGACCGAACCGACUAAUGUUGAAAAAUUAGCGGAUGACCUGUGGCUGGGGGUGAAAGGCCAAUCAAACCGGGAGAUAGCUGGUUCUCCCCGAAAGCUAUUUAGGUAGCGCCUCGUGAAUUCAUCUCCGGGGGUAGAGCACUGUUUCGGCUAGGGGGCCAUCCCGGCUUACCAACCCGAUGCAAACUGCGAAUACCGGAGAAUGUUAUCACGGGAGACACACGGCGGGUGCUAACGUCCGUCGUGAAGAGGGAAACAACCCAGACCGCCAGCUAAGGUCCCAAAGUCAUGGUUAAGUGGGAAACGAUGUGGGAAGGCCCAGACAGCCAGGAUGUUGGCUUAGAAGCAGCCAUCAUUUAAAGAAAGCGUAAUAGCUCACUGGUCGAGUCGGCCUGCGCGGAAGAUGUAACGGGGCUAAACCAUGCACCGAAGCUGCGGCAGCGACGCUGAUGCGUUGUUGGGUAGGGGAGCGUUCUGUAAGCCUGCGAAGGUGGCCUGUGAGGGUUGCUGGAGGUAUCAGAAGUGCGAAUGCUGACAUAAGUAACGAUAAAGCGGGUGAAAAGCCCGCUCGCCGGAAGACCAAGGGUUCCUGUCCAACGUUAAUCGGGGCAGGGUGAGUCGACCCCUAAGGCGAGGCCGAAAGGCGUAGUCGAUGGGAAACGGGUUAAUAUUCCCGUACUUGGUGUUACUGCGAAGGGGGGACGGAGAAGGCUAUGUUGGCCGGGCGACGGUU
This 1075-nucleotide ribosomal RNA is filed under the name Salmonella enterica. RNAcentral describes it as "partial 23S ribosomal RNA". It matches the Rfam family "Bacterial large subunit ribosomal RNA", at positions 424 to 1503 of the family's 2925-position model. Lineage: Bacteria; Pseudomonadati; Pseudomonadota; Gammaproteobacteria; Enterobacterales; Enterobacteriaceae. The record is from RNAcentral. RNAcentral also lists the same sequence under 1 other name.